Thalassophryne amazonica is the source of this 5183-nucleotide long non-coding RNA. RefSeq lists it as uncharacterized. The record is from RefSeq and is a predicted model, not a curated record. Lineage: Eukaryota; Metazoa; Chordata; Actinopteri; Batrachoidiformes; Batrachoididae. The transcript has 2 exons.
CAGGAGUGUGCCAGUCAACCUUGCGCCAAGCCAUGCCAGCUGUGUGGAACGCAGUCAUCCGAAUGUCAUCCAGGUACAUCACAUUCCAACAUUACAGCACAAUUUGCAGCGAGAGCCAGUUUCCCGAAUGUAAUUGGAGCUACUGACUGUACACGUAUUGCUAUAAAGGCAGCAUCACAUGAUGAAUUUCUUUUUGUUAAUACGAAAUAAUUUAAUUCCAUCAGUGUUCAAACCAUAUGUGACGCAUAAAUGCAUUAGGUUGGGUUGGGAACAGGCUGGAAGCUGGCACAGUGCGAGAUAGGUGGCUGCUUUAUUAGUUUAAUUGGCCCUAAUGAAAACCAGUGUGGGCACAUUUGGGCAUGUGCGCAUUCAUAUAUGAGCCGGUGAAGCAGGCCUGCUGGUGAAAUUUCACAGCUAUGUGUAUCGUGAGCAGCCUAUUGUAUGAUGAGUAUAAUGACAACAUUCAUGAGUUCAGCAUGGGAUGAUCCUUGUCACCUUCAUGGGCUUCCACCACUCCAGUGAGAGCUGUGUCACUCACUAUAUUUUUUUUCUUAUUUCAGUGUGUGCGCUUUGGUUUGAACCUCAGCAUUUAUAUAGCUGCACACACGCAGACACACACACUUAUUUUCAUUUUGUUUCAUAUUGCAGUGAGCUGCAUUGGACAAGGUAGACAGACCCACAGCUUUUGUCUUUUCUGCACUCUGCCUCUACAAGUGCUUUAAUUUUUACACACAACAGCACAGAGACAAUGGUGGACAUCAGCACACACACUCCACCUCACACUCAUGGUACUGUCAACAUGACCCAACCAAACUGUUUAAAUAAAUUUGCAUAUUCAUGUGGAGGCGUGGACAGGGAGGAGCUUGGUCCAUCUGCAUGUGUGCUCAAUUCCACGUUCAGUGGGAUGUACAAAUAGAACGUACUUGGAUCCAUGCGUAUGCACACUUUGGUAAAUCUGGAUAUUUUUUUGCUUUCACCAGUUACUGGGUUUUGGAGUACACCGUGUUUCAGUAGGAAAUCCACGCAUGUCUUUGUACAUGCGGCCCCAAAACACCACACCUACAAUUCAGUUUCAGGCUUACAGAAGAAUACUAUAUGGGUUUUCAAAUAGUCACAUUCACCAACAAUAAAAUACCUGAACUCAGAAUGAAGUCAUUUUCCGAUACACAAACAUCGAUCUGUGAAUAUUGGCAGUGUCCCUGCCGAACACAUACAUAGUUUCAUCAAGACCAAGCCGAUCAGAAGAUUGUACCCCUCUAGCAGCAUCACUAAUGAUGUUACCAGCCUACUUUUUAAAUUGCUGACACAUUACUGCUGCAAAAUGUGCAGCCAUGCCGCUCUGUGUACACCUGAUCCUUUAGUCCACUUAAAAACAACAGGAGCGCCACACAUUCCUCCAUGUAGGCCUGGAGCUGGGGCAGGAAGGGAAUCUGUAUAAAAUUUGCACCAAAUCCCAAUGUGGAUCUCCAUUUGAUCCAAUAUCAUGACUGUGAUCAACUGGGGACAGCUGAAAGCAAACUAAAAGAAUUACUGCUUGAAAAUGUCUGAAGAAAUCCAUCCAGGUCAGUGUCAUUUACAGGGUGAUAUAAACACUGUGCCAGUGUUAGCAGUUAGUUCCAGUCAGCUUGUUUAUGGCAAUUAGAAACUGAAUAUCACCAGCAGUAUAUGUUAAUUGAUGCGUUAGUAAUUAAUACAAAAUGUGAGCAUGCCUUUCUAACUACACAAUGGACUGCAGCACUUUACCCAUCUCACAGAUAGGCAAAGAGCUUUACAGUGAUGCCUAACAUUCAGUUCCCCAGUCCAUUUUAAGGUUUGAAAAUGCAGUUUGAACUCAUUUAGAUCACUGCUGCAGUAAAACCAGAUUACCUUCAUUUAGACAGAUUUCUGUUGGUUUAAGGCCCAGUCACAUGGCACACGGUGAUCGCUGAACGAAGAAAAAAGUCUGCAAUGUGCAAUAAAUAGUUAAAGUAGUUGAUAAAACGUUCUUGCCACUAUUGUUUCUGUAUGAAAAUGUUGCUUUUCGUCUCACAUGGACGAGUCACGUUCAGCUCGUCUGAGCUUUAGUUACUCCUUCGUUCAGAUAUCGUCAACGUUCUUGCAAGACAUCGGACUUGGGAGGUUGGACGAAGUUGCACGACAGUCAAACGUAAUGCUGACAGUACAGGAACUACACAAAUGAUGAGGAACCGUCAAGACAGAAAGCAAAACGGAAUAGGGAUGAAUUGAGGUUGUUGUCAGGAUUCAUUCACAUUUUUCAACAGUUUGAAAAUUCUGACGAAGCGCCAGCUACAGAAACAAAGCUGGAUGACGGUUAAACGAUGUCUCUGAAAGUCAACGUAUGUCCAGAUGUCUUGUCCUUUGUUAGUGCCAUGUGACCAGGGCUUGAGGUCCAUUUAAAGCCUAAUUAAAUCACACUUAAAAUGGGUGUUUACCAUCUCAACCAUAACUGUUGAAAAACCGAUUAUCAUUUUGAUCCAUUUCAGCCAAUUUAAGAUACGUAUUUUUCUGUUGCUUCAGAGCCAUUUAAAGCUAGUGAAAUGAUGAUUAUGAUUAUGAUGAUGAUUUGAAUUAAUGUGAAAAGCUGUCAAACAAAAAAACACACGUCAGUCAUCAUGUUGGAGAAUCUGGAACUCAACAAAAUUUGCUUUUAAAAAAUAUGACCCGAGUGGUUCAUUCAUUUUUUUAAAUUGUCGACUAAGUGUUUCAGCUCCAGGACGUUGUUGCUCCUGAGUGGAGCUUUGAGACCUGAUGGUGAUGGAUGAGAAUGAUGAGAGGUCCCAUGAGUUUGACUGGUUUGAUUUGCAGCGUGUGGAAUGUCUGAGCUCGUCUAGACUCAGACCUGAUGACACAGAGACAUUUGGACCUGGUCUCACUGGCUUACAAACGGACUUAACUUCCACCUGAACCACUUUCCUUCAUACAAACUGUUUUUUCUUUUUUUGUUUUGUUUUUUUAAGAACAGCUUCUUGGACUGAACCUAUCCAACCACUGACACUUGUUUGCUUCUCUGCUUUUCGCUCAGCACAUUUACUCAUUUAUUUCAGUGUUUGAUCAGUAACAUAUAUCCACAAGGCUCGGCUUCACCCACGGAGAAAAACAAAUCAGUAUGGAAUUCUUAUUUUGUGACUUAAAUGCACCUGGGUUUAUAUUUGUGGUUAUCAGAUGUUUUACUCCACACUUCAAUCUCAGAACUUUGUGUAUUUCUGUGUUUGGUAGAUGUGCAUCCUGGUGGGCGAUGUUUCCAAACUGAAACACUAGUUAAUGUUGCAUAAAGUCAUCCACACCUUCACUUUACUUACUGUUGUUUGUGCCAUUGUUAUUUUGCAGUUGUACCAUUUUUCACUUCUUGUCUGUCAGCUGCAGCAGUUCAGUUUGUAACUGGUGAAAAAAAAGACUUGGGAUCAAGAUGGACAGUUUUGCUGCAGCCGUAGAACCCGUGGAAUGAAAGUGACAAAGCGUGUCAGGGUUUAUGUGCUGAGGAAUGUGUGUGGGCAGCACUGGAGGCUGUCUUACUAUCCCCAGAUUCAUGCCUUUAUAUACAGGCAGGUCCAUAAGUAUUUGGACAAUGAGCUUUUUUCUGCGGUGUUGCCUCUGUGUACCGCAGUGGAGUUAAAAGAAAACAAAAUGUGACUGUAGUGUGGACUUUAACAUUUGAUUGAAAGAGUAUAGCAAAAUACCAUAUUAACCAACCAUUUUUAUGCAAAGUUCCACUACUUUACGAGCCCAUAAGUAAUUGGACAAACUACAUGUAAUUAUUGUUACUUAUAUAGGCAGUUUUCUUUAGACAAGUCAGGGGAUGGAUACAUGAACAUCUUUAACUCUGAAUACAUCUUGGACUUUAUUUCCUUCAGUUAUUAAGAAAUAUAAACAGUAUGGUACUGUGUGGUAAAUCUGUCUGGAGGAGGCGGUUUUGAAAAACUGAGUCACUCUGCAAGAAGGACACACGUGAGGGAAGCCUCCAAGACACCCAUAACGACUCUGAAGGAAUUAUUGACUUCUGUGGGUGUGAUUGGAGAACCUGCAUUAAGCAGAUUUUGUCUGUUGCAUAACCAGUCACACAGCUUCAUAAUGGAAUCACACAGACAAGGAUUUUCUUAUGGAACACAGAAACUUUAAGUUACAGUUUGCCAGAAAGGGACAUAGAAGACUUGAGCCUAUGUUUUCUUGUGUGAAAAUCCUGCUCUGUUCCACUCAACCGUGAAAUUGUGACUGGUGAUACAAUGAUCAAAAGCGACACAAUGCAAAGUUUCUCCAAUCGCAGUCACAGGAUAACUCCUCCAGAGUUGGUCAUACUCUUGGUGGCUUCCCUCAUGAAACUUCUUGCACUGCUUGUAAGAACUGCCUAAUACAGUCAGAUUUACCAUACAGCGGUAUUGUACUGUUUGUUUUCUUAAUGACUGAUGUAAGUGAAGUCCAAGACAUUCAGAGACUUGGAAAUGUUCAUGUAUCUAUCCCCUGACUGUUUGUAAAGAAAACUGUCUGCAAAAUGGAUUUUUUUUUAUUAACAAUAAUCACAACUCUAAUUUUGUUCAAAUACUUAAGAGGAAUUGAAAAGGGAGGGACUGAAUAAAAAUAACAGUAAUUGACAAAUAAUUAAUGUGAUAUAUUUAUUAAAUCUUUGACUUAAAGCUUGAAUGAAACCUGGUGUUACUAUGUACAGUAAAUACUUGUGGACCUGACUGCAUUCAAACAGUUGUCAAUUAAACUGCACUAUUUUGGAGGACAGAGCACUUUGAUUUGAAACUUCAGAAAAUCUAAAUAACAGUCAUCCAUUUUUUAAGCUUUACUUGACUUUCUUCAACCUUACUUGUUUUGGGAGAAGAAAAUGGUGAGUAGUUAUCACUGACUUAAAGACAAACUAAAGAUCCUGUACUUCAUGCCAGCAGGGGGUGCGCGUCACUGCAUAGUGACACAUGGUGUUUGAGUUUAGGAGCUAAACCACUUUGAACAGGAUGAGAUUGAUGGAUGGACGUUGAACGGGAUUCCACGCUGUUUCCUUCCUUUCUUUAGGCCUUUCUUUGUCAGCUGCCACUGAACAGAGAAGAGAAGCGCUGUAGGUUUGUGUGUACGCAGGAGCGCGCGUGUCUGUGUGUACAGGGUUGUCACCUGGCCCACCACUGUUUAAUGUGGAACACAUUAACCAACAAGUUACAGAACAAUAAAUAUAUGUUUUUAUAUUUAUA